RNAcentral lists this ribosomal RNA (254 nucleotides) under uncultured bacterium. Its description in RNAcentral is "partial 16S ribosomal RNA". It matches the Rfam family "Bacterial small subunit ribosomal RNA", at positions 524 to 776 of the family's 1533-position model. The record is from RNAcentral.
UACGAAGGGGGCUAGCGUUGCUCGGAAUCACUGGGCGUAAAGGGUGCGUAGGCGGGUCUUUAAGUCAGGGGUGGAAAUCCUGGAGCUCAACUCCAGAACUGCCUUUGAUACUGGGAAGCUUGAGUCCGGGAGAGGUGAGUGGAACUCCGAGUGUAGAGGUGAAAUUCGUAGAUAUUCGGAAGAACACCAGUGGCGAAGGCGGCUCACUGGCCCGGUACUGACGCUGAGGUGCGAAAGCGUGGGGAGCAAACAGG